AAAAAAAAUAAAAUAAAAAAAAAAUAAAAAGGAAACUAAAUGAAAUUGAAAUUAACAAAAAUUUCUCAAGAUUUUACAAUCCCCUAUAUGUUAUCCGCUUCAAUUGCUUCACCUUCUUAAAAUCAGGCAUACGAUAAUUUCUUUCCACCUCCCAUGCAAGCUGCGACAUGCCGUUGAAUGACGACUUGGCAACUUUUACAUCCGUCACUUCUCUUGGGAAAGGUAUUCGAACAUCGUAAACACCUCUCUCAGGACAGUGGAGACGAAUGUCGAAACCAAGCCUAUCAACCCAUAUCAUCUUUGCUUCUGAUACCUGAUCAAUACCAAUUAAAUUUCAUACCCAUUUUCUAGUUUCAUUGUUUUAAUACAUGGAAUGAAAAAAGAUUCAAACAAUGAAAAAUUAAAUGCAAUUAGGAACACUAAUUAAAGUAGGCCAAAAUUGAUCCUAUGGCAUUAGAUGCCCUAGGAUUUUGUGUCACUCAAAAUCAUUCAUCUUUACUUGGAAUUUAUGGAGUUCAGGUCAGGUCAGUUAAAAAUACUUUGCUUGACCCAAUUUGAACUUGAAAUCUGUUGCACAUUACUUGAACCAAACUUGAAGUUUGGUGUGAUUAUGGGGGAGACAUGUUUGAUGCAUGGUUCCUCUGACUAUGGGGAUAUUACAUGUUUCACGCCUUAAAAGUCAAGUGUUGCUUAUGUAAAGUUGGUGGAUCCUCCUUCUAGAGAGGCAAAGUUGAGAUGCACUUUCCCUACCUUCCCUUUGGGGUGCGGUUGGAGUGCGGUUGGGGUCCUCUAAACAAGGAAAGGCCAAACUUAAAAAUAUAAAAAGUGAAGUGGAAGCAGCAAGGUAGAUAUUGAGAAUGACCAGAAAACAGGGAAGCCACCACCUUGCAGGAGGUGGCCGCAAGUAAUUGCCUUAUUUUAGAUAAAAAAAUUAGGACAGAGAUGGGUAGAGGUACCCAACCCCAAAGUGAAGAAAGGGCGAAAAUCCAUGAAACAACAACAGACCUGUAACCACUCUUCAACUUUCAAUCCAGUGCCAACGUGCCAGUAAAUAAAGCAAGGACCUAGAGACCAUCUUACCUAAAAAAU
This 1089-nucleotide unclassified non-coding RNA is filed under the name Hevea brasiliensis (rubber tree). The record is from RNAcentral. Lineage: Eukaryota; Viridiplantae; Streptophyta; Magnoliopsida; Malpighiales; Euphorbiaceae.